Molecule: long non-coding RNA, 310 nt
Filed under: Nicotiana benthamiana
Lineage: Eukaryota; Viridiplantae; Streptophyta; Magnoliopsida; Solanales; Solanaceae
Description: long non-coding RNA (NBEN_LNC003945)
Source: RNAcentral
UCCAACGUUCAGGGAAGUUAAAGACAGUUUGGUGUUUGAUGGACUAUGGAGAGUGUGUAGUGAGGUUUUAGGGUUGAGCAGAGUCGGCGCCGCCACCGGAGAAAUUGGGGCGGUGCUAAGGUUCAUAACUUCCAACCAAGAUUCGAAGAGCUUGGGUAGGUUUUGAGGGAAGCUAGAGUUGGAUUGGGGAUGUGGAGGCAGAGAAGAAGCUAUGGUGUGAAUUUGAAGGCCAUUGGAGACUUGCCGCCGCUGUAGGGCAAUUUUCGGCAACGGGGGAUGGUGAUGUUACGCUGGGUCUCUGAGGGGUGUU